GUGAGGAAUUUUCCGCAAUGGGCGAAAGCCUGACGGAGCAAUGCCGCGUGAAGGAUGAAGGCCUAUGGGUUGUAAACUUCUUUUCUCAGAAAAGAAUUAUGACGGUAUCUGAGGAAUAAGCAUCGGCUAACUCUGUGCCAGCAGCCGCGGUAAGACAGAGGAUGCAAGCGUUAUCCGGAAUGAUUGGGCGUAAAGCGUCUGUAGGUUGUUUAAAAAGUAUUCUGUCAAAGAUUAGGGCUUAACCCUAGAUAGGCAGAAUAAACUUUUAAGCUAGAGUGUGGUAGAGGCAGAGGGAAUUCCCGGUGGAGCGGUGAAAUGCGGAGAUAACGGGAGGAACACCAAAGGCGAAGGCACUCUGCUGGGCCAAUACUAACACUGAGAGACGAAAGCGAGGGGAGCAAAUGGGAUUAGAAACCCUGGUAGUCC
Molecule: ribosomal RNA, 426 nt
Filed under: uncultured bacterium
Lineage: Bacteria
Description: partial 16S ribosomal RNA
Rfam family: Bacterial small subunit ribosomal RNA
Source: RNAcentral